AGGAAACUAGUUUUUGUGUCAGAUUGCAAAAUUUUAAUGAGUAAGACAAAGAAAAUUUUAAAGAUUAAAGCAGGGGACUGAGACGAAUUUAAAGUCAGUAAGUCAAAAAGGAAUAACUUAGAUUUUUAAACGAAAUGUCAGCUUCAACUAACCACGCCUUAUGGAAAGAUAUAUUAGGAAGAGAGUUGAAGAUUCAGCUCCAGCAUCCUUCAAAAGUUUACGCAAGAAACUGUCCAAAAUGCACUCCACCCACGACAGAGCAGCCCCUCCAGAACUUGAUGCCAAUUGGAAGAGUUGUGAUUUCAUCUAAUUUUCCGUGUUGUGAGAAGAAAACUGAUGGUACGGAAGAAGAUGCCAAAUGCGAAAAGUGUAACGGAAAAGUCACUGUCUUCAGCUAUAGAGUCUGCAAGUGUGGAUGCAAGCCCCUCCAGUGAUCAAAAGCUAAAAGGUUUAUAUGCUGGAGUAUACAGUCUGAAGAAUAUCUUAGAGAUGUGAAGCAAAGAUUGCGGUCUAACAUUUUCAAAUUACUAUAAAAUUUCUUAGAUUGGACGACAAAAGAAAAAGUAAAAAUCAUCUACACUUGGAUAAGUUUCCUACAAUGAAAUUAUUUUAUAACAUGUUUGCCGUACAUUUGCCAAAUAUGCUUCGUGGUUAUGAAAAUAUUAUAGACGAACAGCUGUACCAUUUCGCAAUAAAUAAUCAACUUUGUCAUCAAAGCCAAAGGUAAAAUAAUAUUGAUAUCAAAAUAUAAAACAUGUUAUGUGUUUGUCGGUUGGUUCAAAGGCCCCAUAACAUCGGUGCAGGGGGAGGAUUAGAGAGUUGACUGCAUCAGGCAUAAAUAUUAAUAACAGCAUCUUCAAUUUCCUGUUGAAACAGUAAUUUUUUGUUCAUAUUUUAUAAAUCUUGCACGAACUGACAUUACAGUUCAAUAUAUCGAUUGCAAUGUUAUAAAAUCUUAAAACAAUGCCUUGAUUUAAUAUUCGAUCUUUUUUCAAGAUAAAACGAUUGAAGAGACAGUUUGUUAACUUCCACUAAAGUGUCUUUAAUAAUGCAUAGAAUUAUGAGGAGGGGAGAUAUUUACGAAAUGUGAAUGUAAAUGAGGGGACAGCAGAUGAAACAUCGUAAGCAUCUUCAACUUUUGUAGAGUGUAACGUAUUACCAUAUUAUGCCGAUUUCAAAAGAAACUGCUAAAAAUGGUUGUUGCACUUUUUUUUAAUGCUGUUUCGGCAUAUAUAAGUUAUAGAAACUAUUAGAAGAAACUAAUUGUGCAGAUAAUUGAUGGCGCUUCUGUCCAAAUGUAACUGCUGUUCACUAUGUUACAGUCAUAAACUAAAUUCAGUUUUAUCCUAAGCUGCUAAUCAUAUUAAAGAAUGUAAAUGACAUACACGUUAUCACGAAAUCUGGAAUUCAAUUUAUUUUCCUCUUAUUCCAAUGUUCGAACACACGCUUUAAGAAAUUAAAAAUAAAACAAACUUCAAAAGAGCCACCAACAAAAUGGAAUUUCUUUUAGGCUUAUAAACACUGUUAUAUAAUACAGAGCAAGUCUUGAAUAUUUUUUUUUUUUCAUCAAUCGAAAAUAAACCUCAUAACUGGGCAGGUAAUGAAACGAGUACUGCUUCGGGGUUUUAUUUACUUUCUACCUAACAUAAGAACAAAUAUUUUUACUGCUACUUAUUGUCAAAAUUUUUAGACGUGACAUAUAUUGCAACACAAAAGAGUAACUAUUUUCACUUCACAAAGAAAGCCUAUAAAUUCUUUUUUAAAAAAGGGGUGAGAGAUUUUGAUGAAGUGUAAAUGCAAAAUAUUUGCAUUGCAUCGCAUUACAUAGUAUAAUAGUCGUCGGUGUCGGUCACUGGUAAAGUUUUAUGUUGACACUCACAUACAGUUUACAUAUGAGGUGGAGGUUGCAUCGCGAAUACAAAUAGGCAACCAAAAUUAGCAUAAAACGCAAUCCCACAGUCAUACCACAAUGCCUUAAAAAGAGGCAUGCCGAAUCUAUGCGUCAGUUCGCAGCCAGCGAUAGCUCUGUAUAAUCCAAAAUAGCCAAAGCGGAAAGCAUGAGCCAAAGAGCUAGACAAGCAAAGAGCCAAAAUGAGCUAGACGGCUGUCGAGAUGUUGCAAAAGAGCUGAAUGUGGAUCGUACUGCCAUCAAUAGGCUGUGAAUUGUUAUCAAAGGAAUUAAAAUUCCUAUAGAAUACAUGGGUCUGGAAGCCGAAUGAUUCCACAUUGGCAGGCGAUCACUUCCUGUUGCUAUGUGCAAAAUGCUGUAGACACCAACAGCACGACAGCGGGCGUUGCAUCGCUCUGCUGCUACAGGAAGGACAAUAUUUCUCCAAACUGUAUCACAUCAGCUGCAUAAAAGUGGACUAUAUGCACGACGACUUGUAAUUUGUGUUCCUUUGUUUCCCAUUGCAUGUCAAAGUGUGGUUGAAUUGGGCCAGUGAACAUCGCAGUUGGACACCAGAGCAAUGUAACUACGUGAUCUUUAUAGAUGAAUCUCGAUUUAACACCCAGAACGAUUCCUGCAGUAUAAUGAUAUGGCGAGAGCCAGGGACACACAAUUGGAAGCCAAAUAUUGCCGAAAGAGACAAUUACAGAGGAGGAGGCUUACUUGUAUGAGCUGGGAUAGCAACGAACGACUGCACCGGCCUCUACCUGAUCCGAUCACAGACGUCCGAUAUCGCAACGGAAUUCUACACCUUAUUCUGCAUUCCUUUUAUCGCUGCAGUGAGUGCCGAUGUGAUAUUUAUGGACGAUAACAUCCACCCACAUACAGCUUGAGUGGUGAGGCAUUAUCUGGAGAGUGAAACCAUUUCACAUCUGCCAUGGCAUGCUACAUCACUUGACCUGAAUCCAAGAGAGCAUGUGUAGGACAACAGAUAAGCAGGUCGCCAUGUGCCAACAGGCACCCUCCACAUUUUUGCAUACUGAAAAUAAAAAUAUAUGCUUUUAGGUCAAGAAAAUAAUGAUGUAAAAUAUUAUAGAUGUUAUCGGAAUUAAAAUUUACAUUAUAAUGCAUACACUUGUAACAAAAGCUUUAAUCAUACAGUUGUUAGGAACAUAUCAGAAAUUAAAACAGUAUGCCAGAAUCAGGCAAAUACAAACUUCCUCACAUCAAAAUAUAUUUAAAGCAUGAACAAAAUUUUAUCAAAAAUACAGUUACACUUUUACCAGAAGUUUUCACAUAAUGAAUUAAGAAUAAUAUUGAAUACAGCGAAUUCAGGAAGCUUUAACAAUUAAGUGCAUAGUACGAAAUUUAAAAUAGCAGGAUUUAAAUUCAGUUUUUCUCACGAGCAAAUAUCAAGUUAUAUAAUAAAGUGCAAGUAAGAUGCAAACUUCUUUCUUACAAAAGAGAAGAAACUCAUUAAUUCAUUACAGAUAAAAAAAAUCAUUAACAAAAUCAAAGAUUUUAUUCUAUUUAAAUUAUAAUACUUCCGAGUUAUAAAAUUACAAAAUUCUGUACAAGAGUAGAAGUACAAAAGAGCUGUUAAGUGUUUUUAGCAGCUCAUGUAAGUAAAUAAGAAGGCCUUCACUAAAAUAAAAGGCACAUUAUGGCGCUUACAACAAGACUAGAUAUAAAUAAGUUAUAAAUACUUCCCAGCAGUAAAUAUACCUGAUAUAAAUAAACACUAAGUAAUAAUUUACAUUUCUAUAAAUAGAAGUUUGAAAACAAACAGUGCACAACCUAAAUAAAAGAAAAAAAAAAAACACUUAAAAUAUUAAAAUGAGUUUUGAAAACAUAAAAAAAUAAAUAAAUAAAUAAAUUCAAGAUCUGAUUUUCAGAUAAUUAUGAAAUUUUUUGAAUCAAAGGCAUAUUGAUAUAAAUUGGGAGUUAUUUUUUAUUAUACAGAAUAAAUUUAUGAGGUACAAAUAUUUUGAGGUUUGAUCAAUAUAAAAAAUGCAGCAGGGAAAAGUUACUUUUGAUUAAAAUAUUUAUUCUAAAGAAAUGUAUUCAGUUCAAUGAUAUUGUACGACACAUCAGAAAAGUGAGCAGUCGAUUUUAUUUA
Molecule: long non-coding RNA, 4007 nt
Filed under: Stegodyphus dumicola
Lineage: Eukaryota; Metazoa; Arthropoda; Arachnida; Araneae; Eresidae
Description: uncharacterized LOC118194554
Source: RNAcentral